GGCUCUGUGGUGAAGUUCAUGUUGAGUUGCAAGCUCAUCGAUGCACAGUGAAAGUGUGCCAGAGUCU
RNAcentral lists this transfer RNA (67 nucleotides) under Neomorphus geoffroyi. Its description in RNAcentral is "tRNA-Cys". Lineage: Eukaryota; Metazoa; Chordata; Aves; Cuculiformes; Neomorphidae. The record is from RNAcentral.